This 65-nucleotide transfer RNA is filed under the name Pedioplanis laticeps. Its description in RNAcentral is "tRNA-Thr". It matches the Rfam family "tRNA". Rfam says of the family: Transfer RNA (tRNA) molecules are approximately 80 nucleotides in length. Their secondary structure includes four short double-helical elements and three loops (D, anti-codon, and T loops). Further hydrogen bonds mediate the characteristic L-shaped molecular structure. tRNAs have two regions of fundamental functional importance: the anti-codon, which is responsible for specific mRNA codon recognition, and the 3' end, to which the tRNAs corresponding amino acid is attached (by aminoacyl-tRNA synthetases). tRNAs cope with the degeneracy of the genetic code in two manners: having more than one tRNA (with a specific anti-codon) for a particular amino acid; and 'wobble' base-pairing, i.e. permitting non-standard base-pairing at the 3rd anti-codon position. Lineage: Eukaryota; Metazoa; Chordata; Lepidosauria; Squamata; Lacertidae. The record is from RNAcentral.
GCUCUGGUAGCUUAGCACAAAGCACUGGUCUUGUAAACCAGAGACGAGAUUUACCUCCCAGAACA